RNAcentral lists this ribosomal RNA (468 nucleotides) under uncultured bacterium. RNAcentral's name for it is "partial 16S ribosomal RNA". It matches the Rfam family "Bacterial small subunit ribosomal RNA", at positions 28 to 507 of the family's 1533-position model. The record is from RNAcentral.
GACGAACGCUGGCGGCGUGCUUAACACAUGCAAGUCGAACGGAAAGGCCCUGCUUUUGUGGGGUGCUCGAGUGGCGAACGGGUGAGUAACACGUGAGUAACCUGCCCUUGACUUUGGGAUAACUUCAGGAAACUGGGGCUAAUACCGGAUAGGAGCUCCUGCUGCAUGGUGGGGGUUGGAAAGUUUCGGCGGUUGGGGAUGGACUCGCGGCUUAUCAGCUUGUUUGUGGGGUAGUGGCUUACCAAGGCUUUGACGGGUAGCCGGCCUGAGAGGGUGACCGGGCACAUUGGGACUGAGAUACGGCCCAGACGGCUAUGGGCGGCAGCAGUGGGGAAUAUUGCAGAACGGGCGGGAGCCUGAUGCAGCAACGCCGCGUGCGGGAUGACGGCCUUCGGGUUGUAAACAGCUUUCGACUGUGAUGAAGAGUGAGUGACGGUACUGGGUAAAGAAGCACCGGCUAACUACGUG